This 1434-nucleotide ribosomal RNA is filed under the name Staphylococcus haemolyticus. RNAcentral describes it as "bacterial SSU rRNA". It matches the Rfam family "Bacterial small subunit ribosomal RNA". The record is from RNAcentral. Lineage: Bacteria; Bacillati; Bacillota; Bacilli; Caryophanales; Staphylococcaceae.
CAGCUAUACAUGCAAGUCGAGCGAACAGACAAGGAGCUUGCUCCUUUGACGUUAGCGGCGGACGGGUGAGUAACACGUGGGUAACCUACCUAUAAGACUGGGAUAACUUCGGGAAACCGGAGCUAAUACCGGAUAAUAUUUCGAACCGCAUGGUUCGAUAGUGAAAGAUGGUUUUGCUAUCACUUAUAGAUGGACCCGCGCCGUAUUAGCUAGUUGGUAAGGUAACGGCUUACCAAGGCGACGAUACGUAGCCGACCUGAGAGGGUGAUCGGCCACACUGGAACUGAGACACGGUCCAGACUCCUACGGGAGGCAGCAGUAGGGAAUCUUCCGCAAUGGGCGAAAGCCUGACGGAGCAACGCCGCGUGAGUGAUGAAGGUCUUCGGAUCGUAAAACUCUGUUAUUAGGGAAGAACAUACGUGUAAGUAACUAUGCACGUCUUGACGGUACCUAAUCAGAAAGCCACGGCUAACUACGUGCCAGCAGCCGCGGUAAUACGUAGGUGGCAAGCGUUAUCCGGGAAUUAUUGGGCGUAAAGCGCGCGUAGGCGGUUUUUUAAGUCUGAUGUGAAAGCCCACGGCUCAACCGUGGAGGGUCAUUGGAAACUGGAAAACUUGAGUGCAGAAGAGGAAAGUGGAAUUCCAUGUGUAGCGGUGAAAUGCGCAGAGAUAUGGAGGAACACCAGUGGCGAAGGCGACUUUCUGGUCUGUAACUGACGCUGAUGUGCGAAAGCGUGGGGAUCAAACAGGAUUAGAUACCCUGGUAGUCCACGCCGUAAACGAUGAGUGCUAAGUGUUAGGGGGUUUCCGCCCCUUAGUGCUGCAGCUAACGCAUUAAGCACUCCGCCUGGGGAGUACGACCGCAAGGUUGAAACUCAAAGGAAUUGACGGGGACCCGCACAAGCGGUGGAGCAUGUGGUUUAAUUCGAAGCAACGCGAAGAACCUUACCAAAUCUUGACAUCCUUUGACAACUCUAGAGAUAGAGCCUUCCCCUUCGGGGGACAAAGUGACAGGUGGUGCAUGGUUGUCGUCAGCUCGUGUCGUGAGAUGUUGGGUUAAGUCCCGCAACGAGCGCAACCCUUAAGCUUAGUUGCCAUCAUUAAGUUGGGCACUCUAAGUUGACUGCCGGUGACAAACCGGAGGAAGGUGGGGAUGACGUCAAAUCAUCAUGCCCCUUAUGAUUUGGGCUACACACGUGCUACAAUGGACAAUACAAAGGGCAGCGAAACCGCGAGGUCAAGCAAAUCCCAUAAAGUUGUUCUCAGUUCGGAUUGUAGUCUGCAACUCGACUACAUGAAGCUGGAAUCGCUAGUAAUCGUAGAUCAGCAUGCUACGGUGAAUACGUUCCCGGGUCUUGUACACACCGCCCGUCACACCACGAGAGUUUGUAACACCCGAAGCCGGUGGAGUAACCAUUGGAGCUAGCCGUCGAAG